Molecule: ribosomal RNA, 449 nt
Filed under: uncultured bacterium
Lineage: Bacteria
Description: partial 16S ribosomal RNA
Rfam family: Bacterial small subunit ribosomal RNA
Source: RNAcentral
AGCGAACGCUGGCGGCAGGCCUAACACAUGCAAGUCGAACGAACUCUUCGGAGUUAGUGGCGGACGGGUGAGUAACACGUGGGAACGUGCCAUUUGGUACGGAAUAACUCAGGGAAACUUGAGCUAAUACCGUAUGUGCUCUUCGGGGGAAAGAUUUAUCGCCAUUGGAGCGGCCCGCGUCUGAUUAGCUAGUUGGUGAGGUAAAGGCUCACCAAGGCUACGAUCAGUAGCUGGUCUGAGAGGAUGAUCAGCCACAUUGGGACUGAGACACGGCCCAAACUCCUACGGGAGGCAGCAGUGGGGAAUCUUGCGCAAUGGGCGAAAGCCUGACGCAGCCAUGCCGCGUGAAUGAUGAAGGUCUUAGGAUUGUAAAAUUCUUUCACCGGGGACGAUAAUGACGGUACCCGGAGAAGAAGCCCCGGCUAACUUCGUGCCAGCAGCCGCAGUAA